UGAGUAACCUGCCCUUAACUCUGGGAUAAGCCUGGGAAACUGGGUCUAAUACCGGAUAUGACUCCUCAUCGCAUGGGUGGGGGGUGGAAAGCUUUUUGUGGUUUUGGAUGGACUCGCGGCCUAUCAGCUUGCUGGUGAGGUAAUGGCUCACCAAGGCGACGACGGGUAGCCGGCCUGAGAGGGUGACCGGCCACACUGGGACUGAGACACGGCCCAGACUCCUACGGGAGGCAG
This 234-nucleotide ribosomal RNA is filed under the name uncultured bacterium. Its description in RNAcentral is "partial 16S ribosomal RNA". It matches the Rfam family "Bacterial small subunit ribosomal RNA", at positions 118 to 351 of the family's 1533-position model. The record is from RNAcentral.